Molecule: transfer RNA, 76 nt
Filed under: Bacteroidota bacterium
Lineage: Bacteria; Pseudomonadati; Bacteroidota
Description: Bacteroidetes bacterium (marine metagenome) tRNA-Lys
Rfam family: tRNA
About the family: Transfer RNA (tRNA) molecules are approximately 80 nucleotides in length. Their secondary structure includes four short double-helical elements and three loops (D, anti-codon, and T loops).
Source: RNAcentral
GGGGGUGUAGCUCAGUCGGUAGAGCACCGCCCUUUUAAGGCGAUGGUCGCAGGUUCGAAUCCUGCCACCCUCACAA